GUGGGUAUAGCUCAGUGGUAGAGUGCAUGCUUAGCAUGCACGAGAUCCUGGGUUCAAUCCUCAAUACCUCCA
RNAcentral lists this transfer RNA (72 nucleotides) under Camelus bactrianus (Bactrian camel). It matches the Rfam family "tRNA". From Rfam's summary of the family: Transfer RNA (tRNA) molecules are approximately 80 nucleotides in length. The record is from Rfam by way of RNAcentral. Lineage: Eukaryota; Metazoa; Chordata; Mammalia; Artiodactyla; Camelidae. RNAcentral also lists the same sequence under 2 other names.